AACGCAGCGAAGGGCGAUAAGUAAUGUGAAUUGCAGAAUUCAGUGAAUCAUCGAAUCUUUGAACGCACAUUGCGCCCUCUGGUAUUCCGGGGGGCAUGCCUGUUCGAGCGUCAUUACAACCCUCAAGCUCUGCUUGGUGUUGGGCAGCACCGGCCCCGGUGUGUCCUAAAAUCAGUGGCGGUGCCGUCUGGCUUCCAAGCGUAGUAACACUUCUCGCUUCCGGAGACCCGGCGUGUGCCUGCCAUGAAAUCACUACUUACUCAAGGUUGACCUCGGAUCAGGUAGGGAUACCCGCUGAACUUAA
This 304-nucleotide ribosomal RNA is filed under the name uncultured fungus. Its description in RNAcentral is "eukaryotic LSU rRNA". The stretch from base 1 to 113 matches the Rfam family "5.8S ribosomal RNA", at positions 42 to 154 of the family's 154-position model. Lineage: Eukaryota; Fungi. The record is from RNAcentral.